GGUACCACCUCGGGGUGCCGCGAGUUUUCUCGCGGCUGAGAUGCGCAAGUGAACCCGUUGAACCUGAACCGGUUAGGACCGGCGGAGGGAAGGUCAGGAUCAUCCUA
This 107-nucleotide non-coding RNA is filed under the name Maritimibacter sp. HL-12. Its description in RNAcentral is "TPP riboswitch aptamer (THI element)". It matches the Rfam family "TPP riboswitch aptamer (THI element)". From Rfam's summary of the family: Vitamin B(1) in its active form thiamin pyrophosphate (TPP) is an essential coenzyme that is synthesised by coupling of pyrimidine and thiazole moieties in bacteria. The previously detected thiamin-regulatory element, thi box was extended, resulting in a new, highly conserved RNA secondary structure, the THI element, which is widely distributed in eubacteria and also occurs in some archaea. Lineage: Bacteria; Pseudomonadati; Pseudomonadota; Alphaproteobacteria; Rhodobacterales; Roseobacteraceae. RNAcentral also lists the same sequence under 1 other name. The record is from Rfam by way of RNAcentral.